This 83-nucleotide transfer RNA is filed under the name Schistocephalus solidus. It matches the Rfam family "tRNA". Rfam says of the family: Transfer RNA (tRNA) molecules are approximately 80 nucleotides in length. The record is from Rfam by way of RNAcentral. Lineage: Eukaryota; Metazoa; Platyhelminthes; Cestoda; Diphyllobothriidea; Diphyllobothriidae.
GGCCUCGUAGCUCGGUUGGCCAGAGCGUUGGCUGAACUAGAGCCUUUUCCUUGGUGGUGUGGGUUCGAAUCCCACCGAGGCCA